UUUUACAUCGAUUGUUUUGUUCGUCGCUAGUGUGAUUUCCCUGGAUCUUGGUGGAGUUAAAUGCUGAUACGUUCCUCCAAACACGCCUGAUAUCGACAUGGAGUCUGCUGAAAUGUCGCUGAGGAGUUCAUCCUGUAUUCAGAUGGCACAUCAGAAAGGAAACAGAGGGCUGGUUAAUGGUUAACUGGGACGAUGGAGCUCUCCUCACGUACGCACAACCAGCUGCUGGCUGGAGUUUGAACUGCCGUCAUGUGAGACACACCAGGUGCGAGCUGAUGACACAUAAACAUGGAGUCAUGUUAUUGUGUAGGUUCUAAUGUAUCUGAGUUCGUAUGAACCCGAACAUGCGGUCCUCCUUCUUCCUCCUUCCUCCUCCUCCUCCUCCUUCCUCCUCCUCCUCCUUCCUCCUCCUCCUCCCUCUCAUGGUAAACAUCACAUCCAGCACGUCUCACUUGUCUCCCUCACAGGACUUUCCAACAACCAGCCACAAGACCGGAAGUCUCACUGCGUGCCUUCAAAAUAAAGGCUUGACUCGCUUUUCAGUCGGAUUGUUGCCUCGUGAGAUCUGUGGUUUAAUUAAUGAAGAGUAGAUGUCUAAUAAAGAGCCAAAUAAUUAUUUUUAUCACCAACUAUUACUUAAAGAAAUUAUUUAGUUCAUUAAAUAUUAUAAAAUAGUGAGAAAUGUCAGUUAUAAUUUGUAGAAUCUAAAUCUAAUGAACUCCAGAGAUGUAAAUAAAAAAAACAAGUAGAUAAAUGAAUAUAGAGGAGGAGAAUUCACAAAGAAAAUAUUAAUAAAUAUUUAUGAAAGUGUACAUGAUAGAUAUUUAAAGAUAAAUAAAUUAAAGAGCCGUACAUUUUGUGCAGUUAUGUGGAAAAUUCUGACCAAUAAUGAAAUCUUCAAAUUGCAUGUUUGUCCCUGUGGAUGGUUCCAAAACUCAAAGAUAUUCAAUUUAAUGUGACAUAUAUUUUGGUAUUUUUGCAUCACUAAUUAAUUAAUUCUCUGCCAAUCAGUAUAUCAGUCAUUUAGUUGCAGCACUAAAUAAGCAACUUGUUAAAAGUGGACAAUGACAGUCGAGACUAUGGGCUCUGAUUUAGCAUGAAAAAUAAAAUGAUUUAUUCAUUCAUUUAUUUUUCAUCCCUUUAUUUCAUUAUAACUUUGCUCCCCUAAAAAUAGAGAUUUCAUACCGUUACACAUUUAACUUCCACCAACUACUAACACCAUAAUACAUGGUUAUUUAUUUUUUUGUAUUAUUUAACCAGGAAGCGCCACUGAGAUCUAAAAACUAUUUUACAACAGAAACCUGUCCGAGGUAGCAGCCUAUUUAAAACACAUUAAUCCACAAUAAAACAACAACUAUUCAAACACAGUGGCCUCUCACGGAAAACAAGCGCACGUCUGUCACCACAUUUUUUAUGAUGCCCUUAAAUUCAUCAGUGGAUAUAUGGGUUUGUAAUUUUAUGUUUUUGGAGAUUGUUCCAUGCCCAUAUAGUUUUCCCAGAUCUGUUCACAUACAGGGUUCAUUAAAAAGCAACCACCUGGAGCAGCAUAGCUGGAAACUAAAAAUAUAAACAUAUCAGUGCUGCUGUCUGCGAGUGGUCAGUGACGUCCAACCCACCAAAUCAUAAAGAUACAGUGAUGAGUCAGGGACUGUGCACAUGUGAUACAUAAAAUGGAGGAUGCAUACAUACAGAAUACAGAAAAGUAGCGUCCACGAGUUUUUUCUUAGCACUGAAAGUAAAACAAGUCUUAUGUUCAUUACAUGUUAUAUUGCAAGUCAUUUUUCAA
Epinephelus moara (kelp grouper) is the source of this 1786-nucleotide long non-coding RNA. RefSeq lists it as uncharacterized. NCBI's taxonomy places the organism in Eukaryota, Metazoa, Chordata, Actinopteri, Perciformes, Serranidae. The record is from RefSeq and is a predicted model, not a curated record. The transcript has 3 exons.